RNAcentral lists this unclassified non-coding RNA (376 nucleotides) under soil metagenome. Its description in RNAcentral is "partial contains 5.8S ribosomal RNA, internal transcribed spacer 2, and large subunit ribosomal RNA". The stretch from base 1 to 120 matches the Rfam family "5.8S ribosomal RNA", at positions 35 to 154 of the family's 154-position model. The record is from RNAcentral.
GAUGAAGAACGUAGUGAAAUGCGAUAAGUAAUGUGAAUUGCAGAAUUCAGUGAAUCAUCGAAUCUUUGAACGCAUCUUGCGCUCCUUGGUAUUCUGAGGAGCAUGCCUGUUUGAGUGUCAUUAAAUUCUCAACUACACUGACUUUGAAUUGGUGUGGCUUGGAUUUGGGGGGAAAAUUGUUGUGGGCUUUUUGUAUAGUCUGCUCCCCUGAAAUUGAUUAGCGGUACCUUUGUGGAACUGUCUACAGGUGUGAUAAUUAUCUACAUCUUAGACAUCUGCUGGAAUGCUGCUUUCUAAACCUUACUUGUAUUGACAAUCUUGACCUCAUAUCAGGUAGGACUACCCGCUGAACUUAAGCAUAUCAAUAAGCGGAGGA